UGAAAUCUUUGGGCCCAACCCAAAGACUGGGAGGAAUACUCUAGAGCUAGAAUCUGGCAGGGGCUGGUAGAACUUUGGGUGGAGCGGUAAAAUGCGUUGAUAUCCAAAGGAAUACCGAUGGCGAAGGCAGCCAGCUGGGCCAGCAUUGACGCUGAGACGCGAAAGCGUGGGGAGCGAACGGGAUUAGAUACCCCGGUAGUCCACGCCGUAAACGAUGCAGACUAGCCAUUGGAAACAUCGACCCUUCCUGUGGCGAAGCUAACGCGUUAAGUCUGCCGCCUGGGGAGUACGGCCGCAAGGCUAAAACUCAAAGGAAUUGACGGGGACCCGCACAAGCGGUGGAGCGCGUGGUUUAAUUCGAUAGUAAGCGGAGAACCUUACCAGGGCUUGACAUGCAGCUGCAAGCUGCCGAAAGGCAGCCGCCUUCGAGGUGCUGCACAGGUGCUGCACGGUUGUCGUCAGCUCGUGGUGUGAACUGUACCGUUCAGUCGGUCAACGAGCGCAACCCCCGUUACCUGUUAAAUCUCUCAGGUAAGACUGCCCCGGUUAACGGGGAGGAAGGUGGGGAUGACGUCAAAUCAGCGUGGCCCUUAUGCCCUGGGCGACACACGCGCUACAAUGGGGUGAACAAUGGGUUGCCAAGCCGUGAGGCGGAGCCAAUCCCACAAACCACCCCCCAGUUCAGAUCGAAGGCUGCAACUCGCCUUCGUGAAGCCGGAAUCGCUA
This 726-nucleotide ribosomal RNA is filed under the name uncultured bacterium. RNAcentral describes it as "bacterial SSU rRNA". It matches the Rfam family "Bacterial small subunit ribosomal RNA", at positions 595 to 1337 of the family's 1533-position model. The record is from RNAcentral.